This 466-nucleotide ribosomal RNA is filed under the name uncultured bacterium. RNAcentral's name for it is "SSU rRNA". It matches the Rfam family "Bacterial small subunit ribosomal RNA", at positions 26 to 518 of the family's 1533-position model. The record is from RNAcentral.
AGAACGAACGCUGGCGGCAGGCUUAACACAUGCAAGUCGAGCGCCCCGCAAGGGGAGCGGCAGACGGGUGAGUAACGCGUGGGAACAUACCCUCCGGUUCGGAAUAGCUCAGGGAAACUUGGAUUAAUACCGGAUACGGCCUAGCGGCGAAAGAUUGAUCGCCGGAGGAUUGGCCCGCGUCUGAUUAGCUAGUUGGUGGGGUAAUGGCCCACCAAGGCGACGAUCAGUAGCUGGUCUGAGAGGAUGAUCAGCCACAUUGGGACUGAGACACGGUCCGGACUCCUACGGGAGGCAGCAGUGGGGAAUAUUGGACAAUGGGGGAAACCCUGAUCCAGCGACGCCGCGUGUGUGAAGAGGCCUGCGGGUUGUAAAGCACUUUUAGUGGGGACAAAAGUCACGGGUUAAUACCGCGUGAUCUUGAUUUAACCUACAGAAAAGCACCGGCUAACUCUGCGCCAGCAGCCGC